RNAcentral lists this ribosomal RNA (435 nucleotides) under uncultured eukaryote. RNAcentral's name for it is "partial 18S ribosomal RNA". It matches the Rfam family "Eukaryotic small subunit ribosomal RNA", at positions 606 to 928 of the family's 1831-position model. The record is from RNAcentral.
UAAAAGCUGUUGCAGUUAAAAAAGCUCGUAGUUGGAUUUUUAGAGUGUAUUGAUACGGUCUCUUGUGAUAAAACUUGUUGUACUGUAUCAAUUACUCUUUCCUACUGGUUACUCGACUCUGUUCUUUUAUUGCAUGGAGUAGUGUCGCAAGGCAUCGCUUAGUAUUUUUAUUGCUUUUUAGAUGUAGUAAUUGGGUAAAACUGGUUAUGAAACCUAAGGGAUCACAGUAAAAGUAUUAAGUGGGGUUCCAGUUCAUUUUACUUUUGAGUAAAAUUAGAGUGUUCAAAGCAGCCUGUAUGGGCAUUGAAUAGAUUAGCAUGGGAUAAUAGAAUAGGAUUCUUAUCUAUUUAUUGGUUUAUAGAUUUAGAAUAAUGAUUAAUAGGGAUAGUUGGGGGCACUUGUAUUCAAUAGUCAGAGGUGAAAUUCUAGGAUUUA